AUUGAACGCUGGCGGCAGGCCUAACACAUGCAAGUCGAGCGAGCGGCGGACGGGUGAGUAAUGUAUGGGGACUGCCCGAUAGAGGGGGCGAACUACUGGAAACGGUGGCUAAUACCGCAUACUAACGGAUAACCCAUAUGGGAUUAGCUAGUAGGUGGGGUAAAGGCUCACCUAGGCGACGAUCUCUAGCUGGUCUGAGAGGAGGCUCAGCCAAACUGGAACUGCGACACGGCCCAGACUCCGAGGGAGGCAGCAGCGGGGAAUAUUGCACAAUGGGCGCAAGCCUAAUGCCGCCAUGCCGCGUGUAUGAAGAAGGCCUUAGGGUUGUAAAGUACUUUCGGCGGGGAGGCGUUACCCGCAGAAGAAGCACCGGCUAACUCCGUGCCAGCAGCCGCGGUAAUUC
RNAcentral lists this ribosomal RNA (403 nucleotides) under uncultured bacterium. Its description in RNAcentral is "partial 16S ribosomal RNA". It matches the Rfam family "Bacterial small subunit ribosomal RNA", at positions 30 to 526 of the family's 1533-position model. The record is from RNAcentral.